RNAcentral lists this ribosomal RNA (429 nucleotides) under Bacteroidota bacterium. RNAcentral's name for it is "Bacteroidetes bacterium partial 16S ribosomal RNA". It matches the Rfam family "Bacterial small subunit ribosomal RNA", at positions 355 to 776 of the family's 1533-position model. The record is from RNAcentral. Lineage: Bacteria; Pseudomonadati; Bacteroidota.
UAGGGAAUCUUCGGCAAUGGGGGGAACCCUGACCGAGCAACGCCGCGUGAGUGAAGAAGGUUUUCGGAUCGUAAAGCUCUGUUGUUAAGGAAGAACGAGUGUGAGAAUGGAAAGUUCAUACUGUGACGGUACUUAACCAGAAAGGGACGGCUAACUACGUGCCAGCAGCCGCGGUAAUACGUAGGUCCCGAGCGUUGUCCGGAUUUAUUGGGCGUAAAGCGAGCGCAGGCGGUUAGAUAAGUCUGAAGUUAAAGGCAGUGGCUCAACCAUUGUAGGCUUUGGAAACUGUGUAACUUGAGUGCAGAAGGGGAGAGUGGAAUUCCAUGUGUAGCGGUGAAAUGCGUAGAUAUAUGGAGGAACACCAGUGGCGAAGGCGACUCUCUGGUCUGUAACUGACGCUGAGGCUCGAAAGCGUGGGUAGCAAACAGG